AUGGGGAUACCAGGAGAAGAAAGGAUCACAUGGACGGCAAGCCUCCACCACCGGCAAGUGGGGUUGCUUCACAUCCAAUAUCCACGGCCGCCGCCUUCAUGGGGUCGAACUCCCAUGUUCACAACCGGGCUCCCAAUCGGCCGCUGCCUCGCCGACCUUGACGACGAAGUAGUCCCUCCCUUCGAUCCCAUUCGCAACGGAGGCAACACCCAUCCCAGCGGACGGGUCCGCGGUGAGAUCCCUACUGGAUUGUGGUCGCGCCUUUCCAAACCUCACCGCGGGACACAUGAGAGGGCGCCGUUGCCAUGGUCAGGCUUGGAUGGGGAAAGGAGGCGACAUAGCAGCAACGGCGCCUUUGACGGGAUUGGUGGCGACGGCGGCGGCGAGCGAGCAGGAGGACGGCGGCGGCGAGAGAGUAGGAGGGUGGUGGCGGCAGUCCAUUGGCCGCCGUGA
RNAcentral lists this ribosomal RNA (453 nucleotides) under Triticum aestivum (bread wheat). Its description in RNAcentral is "partial small subunit ribosomal RNA". Lineage: Eukaryota; Viridiplantae; Streptophyta; Magnoliopsida; Poales; Poaceae. The record is from RNAcentral.